AACGAACGCUGGCGGCAGGCUUAACACAUGCAAGUCGAACGCACCUUUCGGGGUGAGUGGCAGACGUGUGAGUAACGCGUGGGAAUCUACCCUUCUCUACGGGAUAGCUCCGGGAAACUGGAAUUAAUACCGUAUACGUCCUGAGGGAGAAAGAUUUAUCGGGGAAGGAUGAGCCCGCGUUGGAUUAGCUAGUUGGUGGGGUAAAGGCCUACCAAGGCGACGAUCCAUAGCUGGUCUAAGAGGAUGAUCAGCCACAUUGGGACUGAGACACGGCCCAAACUCCUACGGGAGGGAGCAGUGGGGAAUAUUGGACAAUGGGCGCAAGCCUGAUCCAGCCAUGCCGCGUGAGUGAUGAAGGGCGUAGGGUUGUAAAGCUGUUUCAGUGGGGACGAUAAUGACGGUACCCACAGAAGAAGCCCCGGCUAACUACGUG
RNAcentral lists this ribosomal RNA (433 nucleotides) under uncultured bacterium. RNAcentral describes it as "partial 16S ribosomal RNA". It matches the Rfam family "Bacterial small subunit ribosomal RNA", at positions 29 to 507 of the family's 1533-position model. The record is from RNAcentral.